This 305-nucleotide unclassified non-coding RNA is filed under the name plant metagenome. Its description in RNAcentral is "partial contains 5.8S ribosomal RNA, internal transcribed spacer 2, and large subunit ribosomal RNA". The stretch from base 1 to 105 matches the Rfam family "5.8S ribosomal RNA", at positions 50 to 154 of the family's 154-position model. The record is from RNAcentral.
GAAAUGCGAUAAGUAAUGUGAAUUGCAGUAUUCAGUGAAUCAUCGAAUCUUUGAACGCACAUUGCGCCCGCCAGUAUUCUGGCGGGCAUGCCUGUUCGAGCGUCAUUUCAACCAUCAAGCCCCCGGCUUGUGUUGGGGACCUGCGGCUGCCCGCAGGCCCUGAAAAACAGUGGCGGGCUCGCUGUCACACCGAGCGUAGUAGCAUACAUUCUCGCUCAGGGCGUGCUGCGGGUUCCGGCCGUUAAACGACCUUCAUAACCCAAGGUUGACCUCGGAUCAGGUAGGAAGACCCGCUGAACUUAAGC